Molecule: ribosomal RNA, 496 nt
Filed under: uncultured bacterium
Lineage: Bacteria
Description: partial 16S ribosomal RNA
Rfam family: Bacterial small subunit ribosomal RNA
Source: RNAcentral
GAUGAACGCUGGCGGCGUGCCUAAUACAUGCAAGUCGAGCGAACAGACGAGGAGCUUGCUCCUCUGACGUUAGCGGCGGACGGGUGAGUAACACGUGGAUAACCUACCUAUAAGACUGGGAUAACUUCGGGAAACCGGAGCUAAUACCGGAUAAUAUAUUGAACCGCAUGGUUCAAUAGUGAAAGACGGUUUUGCUGUCACUUAUAGAUGGAUCCGCGCCGCAUUAGCUAGUUGGUAAGGUAACGGCUUACCAAGGCAACGAUGCGUAGCCGACCUGAGAGGGGGAUCGGCCACACGGGAGGGGAGAAGCGGCCAAGCCCCCAAGGGGGGGCAGAGGGGGGGAAUCUUCGGCAAGGGGGGAAAGCCUGCAGGAGCAACGCCGGGGGGGGGAAGAAGGUCUGCGUACGGAAAAACUUUGUUUUUGGGGAAAAAAAAAUUGGUAAGUAACUAAGCAGGUCUGAAGGUAACCUAAAAAGAAGGCCAGGGUAAAUUAGUG